UACGUAUGGUGCAAGCGUAAUCCGGAUUUACUGGGUGUAAAGGGAGCGCAGGCGGUUCUGCAAGUCUGAUGUGAAAGCCCGGGGCUCAACCGCGGGACUGCAUUGGAAACUGCGGGACUGGAGUGUCGGAGGGGUAAGCGGAAUUCCUGGUGUAGCGGUGAAAUGCGUAGAUAUCAGGAGGAACACCGGUGGCGAAGGCGGCUUACUGGACGAUGACUGACGCUGAGGCUCGAAAGCGUGGGGAGCAAACAGG
Molecule: ribosomal RNA, 253 nt
Filed under: uncultured bacterium
Lineage: Bacteria
Description: partial 16S ribosomal RNA
Rfam family: Bacterial small subunit ribosomal RNA
Source: RNAcentral